AGAGCUAAGGAGAUUGGUGAGCAUAGGAUUUUGUAUGGCUUGAUCCGUAGGUUGUAUGAAGCUUGUUUGUUCAAAUAGCUUGUUUAUUAGUUAGAGCUAAAGUUCUUUUUUUUUGCAACAGACAUAAUUUUUAUUUUAUUAUAGUUGUGCCAAGAAUGGAUUGUCUACGUACCUAGAAUGGGAUCAAACCUUGCAGUUGUUCACUUUAUCUAUUUUGACAUCCGUUACACUAUGCUUUGAUUAUGUCAACUCGGCAUGGGCCUUUCACUGAGCUCGACAUGGGUCUUGGACUAAUUUGGGCCUAUUUUUUCUAGUAGGUCUGUAGGAAUUUGAUAUGGGUUCUUGGACCAGGUAAGGAGCGGGUGAAAUCCGCCUCCAACACUUUACUUGGUUCCAA
This 397-nucleotide long non-coding RNA is filed under the name Brassica napus (rape). RNAcentral describes it as "long non-coding RNA (BNAP_LNC009818)". The record is from RNAcentral. Lineage: Eukaryota; Viridiplantae; Streptophyta; Magnoliopsida; Brassicales; Brassicaceae.